This 30-nucleotide non-coding RNA is filed under the name Homo sapiens (human). Lineage: Eukaryota; Metazoa; Chordata; Mammalia; Primates; Hominidae. The record is from RNAcentral.
UGAUUAGGAUUAGAGAAUUCCAACUGUGUC